UAAAUAAAAUAUUUAAUAUUAAAUUUAUUUAUUUUAUAUUAAAAAUAAAGUAAAAAUUAUUUCAUAAAUGUUUAAUAAUAUUUUUAAAUUAACUAUAACUUAGUAUGGAUAAAAUUAUUUUUUAUAUCACAGCGGGGAGAGAUGUAACAACAAGAAUACUGGAUAUCAGCUAAAGAGAUUUUCCCGAAUUAGUUAAGACCAUAUAUUUUUGUAAUAACAAAAAUGUCAUCAAUAUCUAGUAUAUUGAUUAAGUGGCUAGAUUUCAUGAGCAAUUAUUACACACAAUGCAAUUUUUCAAAUAUAUCAUCAUAACAAUGUAAUAAAAUAUCAUUAGAAAUAUGGGCUGACAGACGAACUCCACUCAGAACCGUUUUUAGUGAGAAAUCAUUUAUCACUGAAUUAAAAUGAGUGAAAAACGGUCUGUCAACAUUUAUCAGAUAUGUUCUUAACGUGUGAUAACGUCUUAUAAAUCGAUGAACGACGGCAGUAUACGUAUAAUAAAAAAUUUCACGUUCCGCGAGUUGUUACGGAAAUCACAAAUAUAGCCAAACAUAUCAAACAAGUGAAAAGUGAAUGUGUUUCCAUAUCAAUAACAAUAAAUAAUGAUGAUCAUUCACAUUAAACUUGCAAAAAUUGAAAAAAUAAAUUGUAAAACCGCUUACAAUCACACCAUGGCAGACCAACCUGACGAACCUAUGGAUCUCAUGGAUCUUCCACUACCUUCAAGGAGUAAUGUACUCAUGAAAGGCGCGAGGCCCUACCACAUCUACGUCUGCAACGCCAUUCGCUAAGCUACCAACAAUCGCUGCUCAUUUUUUUUUUUUUUUAAAUUAAAUUCAUAAAAGUAUACAA
Long non-coding RNA from Aphis gossypii (cotton aphid), 852 nucleotides. RefSeq lists it as uncharacterized. Lineage: Eukaryota; Metazoa; Arthropoda; Insecta; Hemiptera; Aphididae. The record is from RefSeq and is a predicted model, not a curated record. The transcript is spliced from 3 exons.